RNAcentral lists this ribosomal RNA (327 nucleotides) under Physocyclus enaulus. Its description in RNAcentral is "partial 12S ribosomal RNA". The record is from RNAcentral. Lineage: Eukaryota; Metazoa; Arthropoda; Arachnida; Araneae; Pholcidae.
ACCAAGUCCUACUAAGGUAGUACUAAAAAAGAAAACCCAUAAGGUUUGGCGGUUAUAACCUCUUAGAGAAACUCGCUUCCUAAUCGUAAACACCCGAUAAUUUUCACUUAAUCAUCAAAGCCUUUAUACCGCCGUUACAGAAUUAACCCCAACAUUAACUUCCACACUAUAACAAUCACAAAAUCAGGUCAAGGUGAAGCCAUUAAUUAAGAAGAAGUAAGUUACAUUAACUUAAAAGUUAAGGAAUACAGUAUAAAUACACUAAGAAAGAGAAUCUAAAAGCACACAGAUAUUAAAAAUACCUAUAGAAACUAACAGUUUUAACGC